UACGUAGGGUGCGAGCGUUGUCCGGAAUUACUGGGCGUAAAGAGCUUGUAGGUGGUUUGUCGCGUUGUUCGUGAAAUCUCACGGCUUAACUGUGAGCGUGCGGGCGAUACGGGCAGACUAGAGUACUGCAGGGGAGACUGGAAUUCCUGGUGUAGCGGUGGAAUGCGCAGAUAUCAGGAGGAACACCGGUGGCGAAGGCGGUUCUCUGGGCAUUACCUGACGCUGAGGAGCGAAAGUGUGGGGAGCGAACAGG
This 253-nucleotide ribosomal RNA is filed under the name uncultured bacterium. RNAcentral's name for it is "partial 16S ribosomal RNA". It matches the Rfam family "Bacterial small subunit ribosomal RNA", at positions 524 to 776 of the family's 1533-position model. The record is from RNAcentral.